AUUGAACGCUGGCGGCAGGCUUAACACAUGCAAGUCGAGCGGGGGAAGGUAGCUUGCUACCGGACCUAGCGGCGGACGGGUGAGUAAUGCUUAGGAAUCUGCCUAUUAGUGGGGGACAACAUCUCGAAAGGGAUGCUAAUACCGCAUACGUCCUACGGGAGAAAGCAGGGGAUCUUCGGACCUUGCGCUAAUAGAUGAGCCUAAGUCAGAUUAGCUAGUUGGUGGGGUGAAGGACUACCAAGGCGACGAUCUGUAGCGGGUCUGAGAGGAUGAUCCGCCACACUGGGACGGAAAAACGGCCCAGACGCCUACGGGAGGCAGGAGUAGGGAAUAUUGGACAAUGGGGGGAACCCUGAUCCAGCCAUGCCGCGUGUGUGAAGAAGGCCUUAUGGUUGUAAAGCACUUUAAGCGAGGAGGAGGCUACUUUAGUUAAUACCUAGAGAUAGUGGACGUUACUCGCAGAAUAAGCACCGGCUAACUCUGUGCCAGCCGCCGCGGUAA
This 501-nucleotide ribosomal RNA is filed under the name uncultured bacterium. RNAcentral's name for it is "partial 16S ribosomal RNA". It matches the Rfam family "Bacterial small subunit ribosomal RNA", at positions 30 to 523 of the family's 1533-position model. The record is from RNAcentral.